This 454-nucleotide ribosomal RNA is filed under the name uncultured Allobrachymonas sp. Its description in RNAcentral is "bacterial SSU rRNA". It matches the Rfam family "Bacterial small subunit ribosomal RNA", at positions 925 to 1382 of the family's 1533-position model. Lineage: Bacteria; Pseudomonadati; Pseudomonadota; Betaproteobacteria; Burkholderiales; Comamonadaceae. The record is from RNAcentral.
ACAAGCGGUGGAUGAUGUGGUUUAAUUCGAUGCAACGCGAAAACCUUACCCACCUUUGACAUGGCAGGAAUCCUAAAGAGAUUUGGGAGUGCUCGAAAGAGAACCUGCACACAGGUGCUGCAUUGGCUGUCGUCAGCUCGUGUCGUGAGAUGUUGGGUUAAGUCCCGCAACGAGCGCAACCCUUGCCAUUAGUUGCUACGAAAGGGGCACUCUAAUGGGACUGCCGGUGACAAACCGGAGGAAGGUGGGGAUGACGUCAAGUCCUCAUGGCCCUUAUAGGUGGGGCUACACACGUCAUACAAUGGUCGGUACAGAGGGUUGCCAACCCGCGAGGGGGAGCUAAUCCCACAAAGCCGAUCGUAGUCCGGAUCGCAGUCUGCAACUCGACUGCGUGAAGUCGGAAUCGCUAGUAAUCGUGGAUCAGCAUGUCACGGUGAAUACGUUCCCGGGUCUU